AUAUACUGGAUAGGCAAUUAUUCCUGUAAUGGUUUUUUGUUUAAAUGUCUUUUCGACUAAGGAUGGGUCUGCGGUCGAUUAGGUAGUUGGUUAGGUAAUGGCUUACCAAGCCUUUGAUCGGUACGGGUUGUGAGAGCAAGAGCCCGGAGAUGGAACCUGAGACAAGGUUCCAGGCCCUACGGGGUGCAGCAGGCGCGAAACCUCCGCAAUGUGAGAAAUCGCGACGGGGGGAUCCCAAGUGCCAUUCUUAACGGGAUGGCUUUUCUUUAGUGUAAAAAGCUUUUGGAAUAAGAGCUGGGCACGACCGGUGCCAGCCGCCGCGGUAACACCGGCAGCUCUAGUGGUAGCAAUUUUUAUUGGGCCUAAAGCGUCCGUAGCCGGUUUAAUAAGUCUCUGGUGAAAUCCUGUAUCUUAACUGUGGGAAUUGCUGGAGAUACUAUUAGACUUGAUACCGGGAGAGGUUAGAGGUACUCCCACGGUAGAGGUGAAAUUCUGUACUCCUGCGAGGACCGCCUGUUGCGAAGGCGUCUAACUGGAACGGUUCUGACGGUGAGGGACCAAAGUUAAGGGCGCGAAUCGGAUUAAAUAACCGGGUACUCCUAACUGUACACGAUGCGGACUUGGUGU
Molecule: ribosomal RNA, 627 nt
Filed under: uncultured archaeon
Lineage: Archaea
Description: bacterial SSU rRNA
Rfam family: Archaeal small subunit ribosomal RNA
Source: RNAcentral